UAUUAACAAUAGAAUAUGCUGAUGUGCGU
This 29-nucleotide non-coding RNA is filed under the name Bombyx mori (domestic silkworm). Lineage: Eukaryota; Metazoa; Arthropoda; Insecta; Lepidoptera; Bombycidae. The record is from RNAcentral.